AGUCAUCAGCUCACAGACUGUGACAGCUGAGGUCAAGAACAAGAAAGAAGUGAGACAGAGAAGAACAAUGGAUGGACUCAGACUGAUUAAAAUGUUUUUAUGUCUGAUGCUGAUGAUUCAGAUUGCAGAAUUCUCAACAGUAUCUGUAAGUGAAACCACCAUUUUUAUGGAAGUUGGAGAUGACGUCACUCUGCCUUGUCUAAAUGUGAUAGAUGACCAGAGAAACUGCGAUGGUACUACGUGGACCUUUGCUUCAAGAAACAGAACACCAAUAGAAGUGAUCAGCUUUGGACAGAUUGGUGAAAAAGCCAAAAAUGCAUCAGACAGACUGAGUGUUACAGCGAACUGUUCUCUGGUUAUAAAGACUCUCACAGUCGAGGAUGUAGGUUUUUACUACUGUAAACAAUACAAAUUGGAAAACCACAGACACAAAAGUCUGGUUAGCGAGUCUUUGGUUGAUCUCUCUGUACUCACCUUGACUGAACAUGAGGACAAUGAUAAGGUGACAAUAAAUUGCUCUGUGGUGACAUAUGAAAUGUGUCAUCACACAGUGAAGUGCCUGUUUAAAGGUCGAGCUGUGGACAGAGAUAACAGUCAAAUAGUGACUUUACAGACUGGCUGCUCCACCACUGUCUCUUUGCUCAAGUCUCACCAUGUUUACUCAUCAAGAGAUUACCUUUUGGACUGCGAAGUGAAUGAUACUUAUACAGAAGGGAAGCUGUUUACCUUCAGACCUCAGCUAUCAGGUGACAGACAAAGGACAAAUAAUCCAACCAGAAAUCCAGCAGGCUACAGUCAGUCCAAUACCCAAGAGUCAACUUUAGCAGCAUUAACGUGAAGUAAUAGUCUUCUGUGACUUUAUCAGUCCAUCAUAAUAGAAGAGGUUUUCUCCUGGCAGCCCUUCCAAAGAAACCAUUCUUGCUUAGUCUUGACUUUUUGAUAUGACUUUGGUGGGAAUCAGCUGGGACCAAUGCUGGUAAGGUUGUUGCUUUAUGUUAACACCUACCUGAGAAGAAACUGUCAAAGUUUCUUCUUUUAUAGAAAUGCCCACUCUUGAUGAUCAGUUAAGUCCAUUUGAUUAGCAGCAUCUGACUCCAAGUUGCUCUCUUAAUUCCUAUGGAACAAUUUAGGAUGUACUUAGUUUGUGCUUAGGACCUUAUGCAUGAUGUAUUUAUUUUAUUUUUAUUUUACAUAUUUUAAAGUAUGUGUUCAAACUGAUUUAAAUAAAAG
This is a long non-coding RNA of Oreochromis aureus, 1230 nucleotides long. NCBI's taxonomy places the organism in Eukaryota, Metazoa, Chordata, Actinopteri, Cichliformes, Cichlidae. The record is from Ensembl.